Molecule: long non-coding RNA, 1687 nt
Filed under: Rattus norvegicus (Norway rat)
Lineage: Eukaryota; Metazoa; Chordata; Mammalia; Rodentia; Muridae
Description: long non-coding RNA NONRATT020860
Source: RNAcentral
GUGAUGAGUGGUUUCAUCAAGUUUGUGUUGGUGUAUCCCCAGAAAUGGCUGAAAAUGAAGAUUACAUCUGUAUAAACUGUGCAAAGAAGCAGGGGCCAGAUAGCCCAGGCCACGCACCACCUCCUCCCUUCAUAAUGAGCUACAAACUACCAAUGGAGGAUCUUAAAGAGACCAGUUAGCAGAUGUUUGGUUAGCUUGCAACAUGGGGGGAAGUGGACCACACUGAGACCUUACUCAUCAAGCAGAGUGGUUCUCACCACUCAGAAUGUUGUUUCCACAGAUGAAUGGACUUCAGAAGAAGUCCUCUUAGUGCUGGCUGCCUGUCUGCAUGGACUGUGUGGGCUCCAUUGCCUUAUCUGUGCAGAGGAUGGCUUCCCAGGUGCAGCAGCCAAGUAUCUCAACUCCUGACUCCUUUGGGUGUGGUUUGCUGAGUUAAGGUCAGGUUCUAAUGGAGCUCUCAGGAGGCUGUUCGGCACUAACACAUUGAUGUACUUAGUGGGGCAUAUGAGAAGUGGCUUUCAACCAGCUGGUGUUAGCUGUAGAAGGUUACAACUUAACGGUGGUGCCAUGGGAAGGCCUGAUUAUUUGAAUCUCCUUAGGGUAAUUGGAUAGGAGUCAGAGUACAACUCUGUCCGUAAUUACUGACACACAUGCCCUGCUGAUCCAGUUAGGAGAAGCAGGCCAGAGUUAUCCCUUCUAGAAGUCUUGGGGUGGCAGUGCAGUCUACGGACCUCAGCUGCUUGUGCUUAUUUACCAAUAAGAAAAUUCUCCAGAAGAGCCCCUCACUUUCCUCAGGAAGGUUCAAAAUCUGACUAGACUGGAUUCUGGAAGGAAGGGAGGGGUUUUUUUGUUUUGUUUUAUUUUGUUUGUUUUUUUUCUUACUUCAAGGCAAGUAGCCCAUUGGUUUGAGAAGUCCGUCUGGGUCUGUGUUUUAGCGAAGAAAGGUAGGUGCACGGAUCCAGGUUUCUGGAGGGAGUAGGGAUGACAAGUGAGAACAUUCUACUGAGCCUCAGUGAUGCAUGCUUAUCUGGGAAACCCUCAUUCACAAGUAUUCCAGACUCCACCAUGCUUCACGCAUGGCCAUGAGCAAGACUGGCAAAUAACAGCUUUUGCCUUGCAGCCCUAACCCUAGUGCUUGUAGUUUCCAACAUGGUCCCAGCAGAUGUUGAUGAAUAACACCAUGGCUUCAUCAGAGGAUGUGGGGCUGUAGGUCCUCUGGGUGUGAAGCUGUUCUAGUAAAUCCGUUUUUAAAAAGAAAGACUUGUUUUUACUUUUUUCUAAAUGUCUCUGACUACUGACUGUUCUAUAGAUUAUUUUUCCUUUUUUGAUAUACAUAUAUAAAUAUAGAUAUAUAUAUAUAUAUUUACUGUUACCAGCAGCGUAUGAUAGAGUUUGAGCAUCAAAAAUCCAUUUGGGAACUUGUAUUUUCUUUCGCUUUUUGAUAAAGAAAUCCCAUUCCUUCCUUGUAGUACAAGGAGCUAGCACUUCGUUCUUCAUUCUCGCCUAAGCAUAUCCUCCAUUUUUCUUCUAUUCUAUUCAAGAAGAUAAUAUAUUUCUUCCAUGUUGGGACUUGGUCCCUGUCUGUUGGGCAGCUUGGUCUUAUUCUAGUCAGUGCUGAAUGUUUUGUAUGUUUGAAACUAUGGUGCUGUGCCCCCCUCCCAGCCCACCCCCAUUGGGUUCUGUGUUC